Molecule: long non-coding RNA, 987 nt
Filed under: Mus musculus (house mouse)
Lineage: Eukaryota; Metazoa; Chordata; Mammalia; Rodentia; Muridae
Description: expressed sequence AU015791
Source: RNAcentral
CUGCUGCAUCAGAGAGGGUGAUAUAACCCAAGCUCACACUUGUAACUAAAGACCCUAGUGUGAUUGCAUCGGAGUCGGCUUCCUGGUGAUCUUUUGGGGUUCACGGACACCUUCUGGGACAGCAGCUCCUGUUCGCUCCAAAUGGUAGUCAUCACUGAAGGAAGCCAAGACAGGAAUCUGGAGGCAGGACCUGAAGCAGAGGACCCUCAGCGGAGGUUACACAGAAAACUUGCUGUUUGAAUGCAGAUCCUGGGGUUCCACGAAGGCACUGUGCCUUUGGUUAUACGUGAGCCUCAGUUUCCUCUUGCCAAGGAGGGUGGGCCACGCCCCAAACUGGAAUUCCCAAGGAUGCAUCACACUGAGCAGGACGGUUCACUCAGCCCCAAGCGUGGUCGCCCAUAAAACUUGACACGGACACGGUGCCCCUGGCAGGUUUUAUUUAUAAUCUGCCUGUGAUCUGCUUCGGGAAUACAAUACUUGGAACCUUCCAGAACCAGAAGCACGCCAUUUAAGUCUUCAACGCUCAUUCCGUGGUCCUCAGAUCCUCAGAGGAGGCUCUGUGUCCGCACCGGAUCUGUCUCCUUUGAACCUACCUUUCUGGUCCCCAUUCAGUCCUGUGCAGUCCAGAGAACCUGGCAGCUCUUCUGCAGCCAGAUCUAUCUUUGAACUGCUGUAUCUCUUGUGGGUGAAAAUGUGGGGCUCUGCUUCAGAGCAAAAUUCAAAACAAUCCAGGCUCUGGCAGGCUUUCUUCUUUCCACUGGUGUUUGUACUUAGUGUUUAAUAAAUAUGGGGAGGGUCAAAAUAUGAUGUCAUUAGCACAAAUUUGAUUGAACAUAUCCGGGUUUUGUUUCUGGCCAGUGCUGGAAAGUGACUUGUGAUCGCAUGCUUCCUAAGUACGUGCUCACUAAGCUGCACCCCCCACUCCCUGUAUCAAAUUAAAAAAAAAUAAAAGUAAGGGCAUUGUGUUUGUAAAAAAAAAAAAAAAAA